RNAcentral lists this transfer RNA (70 nucleotides) under Odorrana hosii (Mount Dulit frog). Its description in RNAcentral is "tRNA-Ala". It matches the Rfam family "tRNA". From Rfam's summary of the family: Transfer RNA (tRNA) molecules are approximately 80 nucleotides in length. The record is from RNAcentral. Lineage: Eukaryota; Metazoa; Chordata; Amphibia; Anura; Ranidae.
AGGGCUUUGUCUUAAUUUAAAGAACUUGAGUUGCAUUCAUGAGAUGCGGGUUAAUAUCCUGCAAGUCCUA